AAGCCGAGCCCUCGGCGGCGGUGGAAGCGCCGGUACCGCCCCCUUCCUCUGGCCUCCCGCCCGUCUCCCUCAACAUCUGGCCGCCGUCGCAGCGGACGCGGGAUGCCGUGAUCCAGCGCCUGAUCGAUACCCUCUCCUCUUCGUCCGUCCUGACCAAACGCUACGGCGUCGUCCCCGUCGACGAGGCCUCCGCCACGGCCCGCCUCAUCGAGCAGGAGGCCUUCGACUUCGCCGACUCCGACGGCGUCCGCGCCUCCGCCUCCAUUGACGACGGGCUGGAGGUCCUCCAGAUCUACUCCAAGGAGAUCAGCAAGCGCAUGAUCGAGUCCGUCAAGUCGAGGGCCUCACCUGUGUCAUCCACACCCGCUGUUGAGGAGGCAGCUACGGCGCCCGCUGAAUCGGCCUCCAUGACUUCUGGUGCUGGUGAAGAAACCUCAGCC
Molecule: long non-coding RNA, 440 nt
Filed under: Musa acuminata (dwarf banana)
Lineage: Eukaryota; Viridiplantae; Streptophyta; Magnoliopsida; Zingiberales; Musaceae
Description: long non-coding RNA (MACU_LNC001888)
Source: RNAcentral